AAAAAAAAAAAAAUGGAAGAAAGUUCUUCCUUAUAGUAAAAAUGAUACCUGCAGAAAGGACAGAAUCAGCGCGUCCAUUUGGUGGCCAGAACAGAAGGGUCUGCUGAGCGAUGAAAUUCGAAUGCCAGGGAUGGGCCAGCCUUCCUGUCUGGAAUCUGACCAGGAGGAAGCUCAGACACCAGGCCAGGGAGGCUGUGAGGGCACCGCCUGGAUCAUCCUUGCCAGGUGUCAAGCUCAAGGAAGACGAAAGCUGGUGACUAAGUGUUAGGUGAUGUGGGACUCGGGAUUGCAUCUUGAUGAGAACAUUGUUUCUCUUUGUGAUAAAGGAUUUUAGUGGCAUAAUUGGCAAAAAUUUCAAAUGAGGUCUACAGAUUAGAUAACAUUAUUGUACCAUUAUCGACUUUGUGGUUAUGUGAGAGAACAUCUUUGCAGCCAGUGGGAUGGUGUGCACCUGUCAUCCCAAGCGCUCAGGAGACUGAGGCAGGAGGAUCACCAUGAGUUUGAGCCCAACCUGCACUACCCAGUGAUUUCAAGUCCAGCCUGAACUACAUAGUGAGACCCUGUCUCAGAAAGCCAAGAAAAAUAAAGAAUAUCUUUGGUUCUUUGGGAAAUAUUGAACUAUUAGGUUAAAAAAACACAUACACUCUACUCUCAAGCUGUGUGUGUGCAAGUGUGUGUAUCACACGCCCAGAAAAGGGGAAAUCUGGAGGAGAGUAUACAGGAAUCCUUUGUAUUAUUUGUGCAACUUUUUGUGAAUCUGAAUUUACUAUAAAAAUUUUAAAAGGUCAGGCUGAGGAUGUAGCUCAGUGGUACAGUAUUUGCCUAACAAAUCCAAGGUCCUGGGUUCAAAUCCCCAGCACCACAAAAAAAGAAAAGCCCCUGUCCCUCCCUCCCUGCAGUACUCUGUCCGCUCCUCCACAGCACAGCAGGGUCUGUGGCCUACCAGUGUUUGUUGACGCCCCCACCUCCUAGGAAGGAAGUUCGGCUGCCUGAGUCUCCCUUGUAUACCCUGGAAAGCUGCCUAGGACAUAGUAGGCGCUCAAUAAAUAUUUGCCGAAUGGGUGAAUGUUUGGCUUUUUCCCUACCCAUGACCUCUUUCCCCACCUCCAAGUACUGGGGUUGGAAACCAGGGUGUGCUAAGCUACAUCCCAGCCCUUUUCAAAAUUUUACUUUGAAAAAAAUUAUUUUGAGAUAGGUUCUCACGCACUUGCCCAGUCCAGCCUCAAACUUGCAAUCCUCUUGCCUCAGCCUCCUGAGGAGCUGGCAUUACAGGAGUGUGCCACCUCACCAGCCCACACAUACCGGACACUGAGUGGGCAGCUGCCGAACCAGACACUUCGUGUGCACUCUUCUAAGCGCCUGGCACUGAGCUCCCGAGAACUUCAGCAACCCGCCUCCGAGCCACCGGGCUUGCUGUGCUGCCCCGCACCCCGGCUGGUGCCUGAAUGUCUCCAGCCCUCCGCGCCCCGGUCCCUGUGUCCCCAGGUGCAUGCCACAGACUUGCCAGCACAGAACAUGUUGUCAGUGAUGCGGAUCCGAGUGGACGACCUGCAGGUGGGCGGUCCACGAUGGGCAGGUUCACCAGCUGCAGCACGCUGGGCUGCACCUCGCCAGCGCUGCUCUUCCACACCUCGCGCAGGUUGCCCCAGCCCGCCACCCGGCCUUUGUAGCCAGCCUGGAGCAGACUGCGGGGAGGCCGGGACAGAGACAGUGAGCGCCAGCGCCAGCGCCGGCCUGGCGCCCCACCUGCCUGUCCAGGCGAAGGACCCACCUGACCACCGUCUGUUUGUCGGGCAGGCACACCGGGUGGAUGUAGUCGCUGAAGGGCACGGGGCGCUUGAGCUUGAGCAGGGCGAUGUCGCGGUCCAGGUUCUCCCGCCAGUUGUACCGGGGGUGGAUGAAGAUCUUCUCCAGCAUGGAGAUCUUCUCCAUGUUGCGCCGUACCUGCGGAGACCAGAGGCUGCGGGCGGGAAGGGGCUGGGACGCAGGGCCAUGGGGAGGCACCUCCCCUGGCAGCCGCUGGGCAGCUUCUCCCAUCCCAAAGCCACACAGGGCUUUGGGGCCAGCCAGGCAGGGAUAAGGACAGGCACAGAGGUUGCUCAUCCUGGAUGAACUCACCACUGUUGCUUUUUUUUUGAGACAGGGUCUCGCGCUCUAGUUCAGGUUGGCCCUGCGCUCACUAUGUAGCCCAGGCUGGCCUCGAACUCUCGGUGAUCCUCCUGCCUCAGCCUCCCCAGUGCUGGGACUACAGGCACGCACCACCAUGGCCGGCGUAGUCACUAUGUGAAGCGACAACCCCCGGGAGCAGGCCUGAUGUCUGGAGGAGGCUGGGGACAGAGCAGGCCAAGAGGACUUUUCCCUGGGGACAGCUGGACGGCCUCUCGUUGGCCGCGCCGCCGCCCGCACCUGCUUCGGGAGUGCUUGCCGAUGCGCAGCAGGAGGUCGUUCUCGGUGAAGUUCUUGUCCCAGGGCGGGUACAGGACGCAGUGCGCGGCCGUGAGCGCCCAGCGGUCGCUGAUGAGGCUGGCCCCGCACAGCAGCUCCUGGGGAGUCUUCCGGAAGAGCAUCACCUGCCUGGGCAGCGGAGCAGCGGGCGGCUAAGGACUGGCCCACAGCCGGGCGUGCUGGUCCCGGCUGGAAUCCUAGCCCUCAGGAGGCUGAGGCAGGAAGCCCCCAGCAUCCCCGCAGGGCCCGAGCUGGGCCCCGGCACGCACGCACCACGGGGCAACGCCCGUCUCGCGCCCCAGCCCUCCACGAUGCGCCCGUCGAUGUAGGAGUCCAGGAGCUGCGCUUCCGUCUUGUCCUUCACCCGCUUCUUCUCGAACAGCGGCCGCAGCCCACAGUCUGCAGAGCAAGCAGGUGAGGGCCGCCCGCCGCCCACCCGCACCCCGCCGCCCGAGCCCUCACCGGCCUCCCCAGGCCGAAGGUCUGCUCUUCGAAGAAGGUCUGGAAGUCCUCUGUCGUCGUGCGGCCCCCGAUGGCCUCCCUCCACCGCCUCCCUCCACCGCCUCCUCUGCGGAGACCGGGCGCUGCUGGGGCCGGGUUGGGCACUGCUGGCCAGCACCCCAGACCCCCAGACCCUUCUGCCCUUAGAGGACACUGGGUACUGAGGUUAAGAGAGCACACAGGCUGGGCACGGUGGCGCACGCCUGUAAUCUCAACACUCAGGAGGCUGAGGCAGGAGAAUUGCCACGAGUUCAAGCCCAGCCUGGGGAAACUGUAGACUUAGUGAGACCCUGCCUUAAAAUAAAAACUAAAAUGGGGAUGUAGAUCAGUGUGAAGGUCCUGGGUUCAAUCUCCAGCACAGAAAAACUGCACGCUGUAUCCGGUGAUGAGGGCACCACUCGAGGAGGCCUCAGUUACCCAUCUCUAAAACGGGCACAGGGCCGCACGCCGCGUUUCUGUGGAGCUGUGAUGAAUGCAAGCACUGCCAUGCGGACAAGGGGCUGUGGCCCUGUCCCUGCAUCCCGGACCCCUGCAUCCCUGCCGCUCACCACAGUAGUUGAGGUCGCAGUACUGGAUGUGGCUGGACUCGCCGGCCACAAAGCACCAGGCGCCUUCCUCGUCCUUGUUGGGGUUGCGACAGAAGUUCUCCUCCAGUUUCACCUCCGGGCUGAAGUCCUUGUCCUGGCUCAGGGACCUGGCCUGCUCACUGGCCCAGGGCAGGCAGGGGGACCCCCCUUGAUGUCACCGCCAGGCGCCCCUGGUACUGCCGGCCACGCUGGGGUACGCAGUCCGCCAGUGAAGAGGACACGUCCGGCCUGGAGCCACCGCUGCGGGGUGUCAUCUCCACGGUGAAGCGGGCCUCGCCUGGGUGAGGACCAGGGCCCAGUGGGUGGGGCGGCCGGGAACCGCAGGGGAGGUAAGGCCCCUGUCUGCUGUGCGCCCUCGGGCAGUGAGCAACCUCUCUGAGCUUUUGGUUACCCAACUCUCAAUGCGCUUCAAGCCAAACACACAGCCUGUCGUUGAGCAUGUGAGAGGCCUGAGAGGAUAACCAGGCCCGGGCUCCCCGGGCCACCUCACUCUGCCCCUAGUGACUGCCUGGAGUGGGGUUUUCCCUUUGUUUGAGCUUUGGGGGUUGUUUGUUUGUUUUGGUGCCACACCCCCCAACUCUUAUUUACUCUGCAGCAGGCUCUGAGGCUGUAAACUACUCGGGCUGGGCUCAAACUUGUGAUCCUUCUGUCUCAGCCUCCCAGAGUGCUGGGAUGAGAGCUGUGUACCCCCAUGCCUGGCUCUGGAAGGUUGCUUUUGUUUUUGUUUUCCAUUUUUGUUUCAUUUUAAGAAUUCGAAGUGCUAUGUGGAGGGAUGCAGACACACCUCUAAUCCCAAUAUUCAGAAGGCUGAGGCCAGUCUGAGCAAUUUAGCAAGACUAUGUCUCAAGACAAAAGGGCUUGGAGGUUUAGCUGGCGUAGUAGAGCCCUUGCUUUGAACCCACAUUCAGUCCAGUGCUGGGAAGGAAAAACAACAACCACCACAAAGAGGGUCGUGUGCUUUUACAGAAGGCAGCAGGAGGUUGCUGGGGUCUGCGGAGGAUGCCCGUGUGGACAGGAAGUGCGCUUCGGCAGGCCUGCAUACACACCAUCCGUGUGCGUGUAGGAGGGGCCCCUAACUGCUUCAAGACCAUUCCCAGGGUGGAACAAGGGGUCCAUAGAGAACAAAGAAUACCAAUGGCUGUUUAACGGGUUGAACUACUGGUCCGAAUUCUUUCUGUUGUUUUGUUUGGAGACAGGGUCUUGCCAUAGUUCAGGCUUGCCUGGAACUCACAGCGACCCUCCUGCCUCAGCCUCCAGAGUGCUGGGUUUCCAGCCUCCGGGCUGUCAGGCCCAUUCACCCCAGCUCUGGCGGUGACCCCUGGGCCUGGGCCCGACCCCGGGCCCGCUCACCGCACACGGGCACGCUGCACUCCUCCCUGCGCACGGUGGGGUCCGUGGUGUAGCACCAGGGGCCCGUGGUGCUGCCGUCGGGAAUUCUGGCAGAAGUUCUCCAGCAGGUGCGCGCCGGGGUGGGUGGUGUGGUUCACCCUGGAAGGGGACACGGCUCAGCAGGGGCUGCGCCUCCGCUGCCCGCCAGUGCCCACGCCACCCCAGACUCACUCAGGCCUGUGCGGGUAGCGACUGCUCCAGAGCUGGCACUCGAUGCCCGACCGGGUGGCGUUCACGGUCCCACGGUAGUUCAUGCCCAGGCCCUUGGCGCAGUGACCUGCGGAGACCCGAGCCCGAGCCUGUCUCCUCCUCCUCGCCACGCUCCUCGAGGGCACCGCCCUCAGCCGCUUCACAGCGGUCAUCAGAAAGUCCGUCACUGGGUGCCACCUGCGUGCCGGGCACGGCCGGCACUAAGGCCAUCGUGGUGGCCCAGACGGCCCGUCAAGGGCUCCACACUGCACAGAGCCUGUUCGGUGGCUCCUCGGGGGUGGCAGAGUGCAAAGUGGCCCCGGGCUCCCUGUCCCUCUCUUAGCCCCUGGGGCCCAGGGCCUUGCCUGUGCCGCUUCCCCUGGGGGUGCCCCCUUCACCCUCUGCACCCCACAAGUCCUGGGACCCAUGGCUGAAGGCAGGCGCCCUCCGACCUCCGCCUCACAUGCAUGUCCGAGUCCCUGUUUCCUGCGGGACUGAGCUUCAAGCAAGGACCACACUGGAUUCGCCCCGAGUCCCCGCCCCUUGGCACGGGGCCUGGGACGCAGGAGGAACACCGCCGGCCACACCCCCAGCCAGCCCUGCCUCCCCUCAGAGGCUGCCUGCGUCCUUCCGCCCGUCUGUCUGCUCCUCACCAUCCAGACACUCCAUGAGGGUCUCCCGGGGCUUCCGCACGGACUCGCACGCUGGAAGAGAACGCGGACGCCGUGGGUGGGAGGGAAGGGUGCUGGGUGACAUCAGAAAGAGGGCGACAGACCCGGGGGGAUGGGGGUCGAGGGAGGGGAGGCGAGGAUGAUGGGGGGCCGGGCUCCCCGGAAGCGCCUGAGCCUCCCACUUCCUGCCGGCCAGGCCUCCCUCCUGGGCGCCCCCUCCCUCUCCCAUACUCACCUGUGUACUUGGCCCAGAAUACAUCCUGGAAAACAAAGGCUCGGAUGAGCCUGACAGGAUAGUGUUUUGGGUUUUUAAUUUUUGAGUCAGGGUCUCGCUGUGUAGCUCAGGCUGGCCUCGAACUCCCAGUGACUGCCCUGCCUCAGGCUCCCGAGUGCUGGGAUGACCAGCAUGUGUCACCGCCCGCUCAGGAUGGUGUUUUGUCUCUUUGCAGUGCCCCUCACCCCCUCGCUGGGGGCAUCUGGGGGUUUAGGGAGGAGCCUCCUACUUUUGCUUCCCAAGGAGAUGUGUGUGGAGGAGGGUCCCCCCACUGGCUGGCUCCCCUGCGCUGGGGGAGGCAAGAGAAGGGGGCUGGGGGCAAGUGAAGGCCAUGCCCAGGGCUGCAGCCUCACCAGGUGCCACCCUAAGGGUAGCACUGAAGUGGCACAAAGGCUUCCACCAGCACCAGGCGGCCCGAGGCCCAGCGCAGGCAGACACUGCAGCUGAGGGCCCCGAUGUCACAGAGCCUCAGCAGAUCUGGCACAGUGUGUGACCCCAGCCAGGUGUCGGGACCCCAAGGGAGGCUGAGGGGCCCCUGUCUUGCUGGCCCAGGGACCUGGGGCUCAGGGGAGAAGUUACAGAGAAGGAAACCAGGUGUGGUAGCACAUGACUGUAAUCCUGGCACUCAGGAGGCUGAGGCAGGAGGAUCCCAAGUUCCAGCCCAGCCUGGGCAACUCAGGGACUUAGCGAAGCCCUGUCUCAAAAAUAAAAACAAAACCUGAGGGCAGGGGCGUCGCUGUCCCAUGCUCACCGUGGCGCUGGACGACCCAGGGCCUCAAAGGCCUCCCCGUAGCUGCACUGCUCCUCCACGCACUCGCGCUCCAGGUUGCCCCUGCGCAGCUCCUCCAGGAAGCCGCUGUUGGCCCUGCGCGUCCGCUGCAGCAGCGACUUUGCGCGAUUCGGGGCCAGGAACACUGCAGGGAGUCGCAGCAGUCGGGCAGGGUGGCCGCCCAGAGCUGCAUGGGGUGCGUGGAGUGCGAAGCCCCCUCCCAGGUCUGGGGCAGGGGCAGCCAGGGCCCCCUCCAGCCCGCUCCCAGCCGUCCUCACCGUCCUGGCCAACUGCGAGGCUGAGCAGGGCCGCCAGGGCCAGGCAGCCCGGCCGCUGCAGGCCUCCGACGUGCACCAUGGCACAAGGGUGUCCUGCUGGGCUCCUGGGACGUUCUGAGCCUGCUGAGUUAAUGUUGAACCAACAUGAAGAAAUCAGCGGACAGGGACAGGUCAGCGGGUCAGGGCUGUGGGGACAAGCAUCCCCCCCACCAUCAGGAAGACAGGCCCUCCUGGGGCCCGGGAGGGACAGUCUCAGGG
Molecule: long non-coding RNA, 7361 nt
Filed under: Heterocephalus glaber (naked mole-rat)
Lineage: Eukaryota; Metazoa; Chordata; Mammalia; Rodentia; Bathyergidae
Description: lncRNA (ENSHGLG00000045334.1)
Source: RNAcentral